Malania oleifera is the source of this 262-nucleotide long non-coding RNA. RefSeq lists it as uncharacterized. The record is from RefSeq and is a predicted model, not a curated record. The transcript has 2 exons. NCBI's taxonomy places the organism in Eukaryota, Viridiplantae, Streptophyta, Magnoliopsida, Santalales, Ximeniaceae.
GGAACAGAGACCGACCGGGUGAUAGAGCUCUGUGAUAGUAGGGAGUUGGAACCCUGAUAUACAAGGUCCUUCACGUAGCCGAACCUAGCGUUCUAGCGAUUUGGGAGCGUGGUUUUGAUCAGCGUUGUAUAAGUACUUGUGUAAGUACUAAACUGUAGCCGGGACAUCAUUUUGGUUAUGUAGACACUUGGGAGUUAUGUUUUGUAUUGUGUUGGACGUAGACUCUGAUAUGGUAUGGUAUAAUGAAUGUAAUAGGUUGAAU